UGGGUAUUGUCAAUUUUUUUCCAGAUAAAGGCUUGUGGUUUGUGAGCCCUGCCUUCAUUUGUCCUUUGUCAUGUCAUGAACAGAAUAUGAUUGUCAUUGUUGACAUUAUCCAUUCCUAUCUGCAAUUGCACUUUUUUGUGGCCAGAUGGUUGCGAUUGUGCUGAAAGGAAAUAAUGCAACUAUUUAAAAGCCAUAAUUGAUUUCACUGAAAUUUUAUUGUUACUUAUAGAUUGAUGACUCAGUUAAGGGUAUGUUUACUCUUGAUUUCUCCAUUCAAAAGGAUGCCUUAAUAUAUAAUAGUCUCUUUCAAACACAACAACUUUUAUGCUGACUGUAAUUUUAAUGCAAAGUAAGAAAUAACAAGUUUCUUCAUGGCCAAAUGACAGUUGUUCGAUUAUUAGUUGGUGUGUGUGGAGAGACAUCUGUCUACACAUAUAGAUUUUGGUAUGCUAAGGUUUCUACUCUGGUUAGCUCGUCAUGUACUCGUAGAAUAAUGUUUGUUUGUCACUUGUCAGUGCAUGACACCAUGUAAGAAAGUAUUUUUACCUUUUCUCUGAUUCUUAAGUGACCUCGUAUCCUCUCUUGCAUUAGACUGAUAAUUUUUAUGUGCCAUUGGAUUUUCGGGUGGUUUACAAAUUUCAGAUGGUUAAUCUAAUAUCGCUUCAUGCUAUCAUCACUGCAUUAGUCUGAACAAUCAACUUCAAAUGCUUUUUGUGUAUAUGGGUGGUUCUUCUGAAUGUUCUUAACUUUAUAUCAUCUUCUCUGAGCAAAACGAGAAGUUGUUUUGUUUCUUUGAAAGAUCAGAUCCAAGUUUUAAUGAGUGCUGAUGGUAUGUUUAACAUAGCACAAUAUUCUUUGGCAAUCUGAGGUUAAUUGGAUCAUAUCAAUGAUAGAUUCUGGAUCUACAGUUCAUUGGAUCCAUGGCAUCUGCUGGAUCAAAUGAUGGAUGUAACACAUCUUCAUUGUAAAAGUUACUUUGCCUCAGAGUUUCCAAUUUUUUGUAGAAUAAACAGCGGACCAAGAGUAUGGAACCAUAGGUGACUAUUUACAGUAUAAAGUCCGAGGGAUACAUGGUAUGGCCAUGAACUUGGACUGUUGGAGCGGAACUCCUGUACUGGCUAAAACUUGACCUGAAAUUGGUUUCGCGAAUUUGGGUGGAGCGUUCGAGCAGAGACGCAGAAAUGGGACUGGGUUUUGCUGUCUCCGAGCGAUGACUUUAAACGGUGAAAUCUGGUGAACACGCCCUUAACAAAAUUAUAUCGUCGCUGUCUUUAACUCGCGGGAGAACUCAGAAAACCUGUGAAUUGUUUGCACAAUACUUAUUAUACGAAUGCCAGAAACAACACGCAGUUGUUGUCGCUCGUCGUCGGAUUUGUUGAGCUCUUAUGUACAGGUGCCUUGGGCUUUCCCUUCGGCCAGAACAGAAGUUUUAAGGUUUGCAACACGAUCUUUCCAGGCUCGAGCAAGAGCAAUCUGCCAUAGCAUAAUUCGAUUGGUCUAUUCUUUCCGGACGCUUGAUGGGUAUUCUCCUCCGAUAAAAGAACGAAGUGGAAAGCACCUACUUGGAUGCGACAUAUUAUGUCAAUUAAUUCGAGUCCCUCUAUCCUGAAGAGCCAGUUUCUGUUUCCUCACUAGCAAUUCAAUUUCAAGCUGAAAAGAAUUGAGUGGUUGUCCCAAUAAGAGGUUACAGUAUCCGAACCGACUUCUACUUAA
Eucalyptus grandis is the source of this 1713-nucleotide long non-coding RNA. RefSeq lists it as uncharacterized. The record is from RefSeq and is a predicted model, not a curated record. The transcript is spliced from 2 exons. NCBI's taxonomy places the organism in Eukaryota, Viridiplantae, Streptophyta, Magnoliopsida, Myrtales, Myrtaceae.